UUGGUGAGGUAACGGCUCACCAAGCCGACGACGGGUAGGGGGCGUGAGAGCGUGGCCCCCCACACGGGAACUGAGACACGGUCCCGACGCCUACGGGCGGCAGCAGUGAGGAAUCUUGCCCAAUGGGGGAAACCCUGAGGCAGCGACACCGCGUGCGGGAUGAAGGCCUUCGGGUCGUAAACCGCUUUUCUGGGGGACGAGUAAGGACGGUACUCCAGGAAUAAGUCCCGGCUAACUACGUGCCAGCAGCCGCGGUAAAACGUAGGGGGCGAGCGUUAUCCGGAAUCACUGGGCGUAAAGGGCGUCUAGGCGGCAGCCUAAGUCCCGUGUGAAAGCUCCCGGCUCAACUGGGAGAAGGCAUGGGAGACUGGGCAGCUAGAGACUCGGAGGGGGGUGUGGAAUUCCCGGUGGAGUGGUGGAAUGCGUUGAGAUCGGGAGGAACACCAGUAGCGAAGGCGGCACCCUGGCCGAGAUCUGACGCUGAAGCGCGAGAGCGUGGGGAGCGAACGGGAUUAGAUACCCCGGUAGUCCACGCCGUAAACGAUGACAACUAGGUGUUGGGUGUCCAAGGAUGCUCAGUACCGCAGCAAACGCGAUAAG
Molecule: ribosomal RNA, 600 nt
Filed under: uncultured bacterium
Lineage: Bacteria
Description: bacterial SSU rRNA
Rfam family: Bacterial small subunit ribosomal RNA
Source: RNAcentral